ACUAAAUCCACGUGCUUAAGGGUAAGGAGCAUUUCCGAAUGAAGCUGAAAAAUGUCAAGACUGGCACAGGAACCAGAGAAAUGCUGACUAUGUAUGAUACUUCCAGCGGGCAGGCUCAUGAUACAGUGAUCACUGAGAAGUGACGUGCUGUAUAUUCCCUCAGAUGUUUAAAUGGAACAUGAAAGAGAAAAACAGCAGCCUAUUCCAUCUUUCAGAAACACUACCAUCCACUGAAACCAGGACCACAGAGAAGGGAUUCCACAAAAGUGGGAAUUUCAUCUAGCCAAACUCUGAUCCAAGAGAACCCAUCACCUUCACAUCCACAUCCAGCUUGAUGGAUUCCUAUACUCAGUGAGUGCUGUUUCUGGGGGUCUAGUAUUAAGGUGAAAGGAUAUGGGCAUGGCUUUCUUCUGGAUCCAUCAA
Molecule: long non-coding RNA, 423 nt
Organism: Canis lupus familiaris (dog)
Lineage: Eukaryota; Metazoa; Chordata; Mammalia; Carnivora; Canidae
Exons: 3
Source: RefSeq, a predicted model, not a curated record